GAAAGAGAGAAAUAAAAGGGUAAAACAUGCAGACUUUUCAUAAAUUUGCCACACAUUUGUUUUAUAUCUAUUCAUUUUCAUUGGUAUGUUAAUAUUUGUCUUCAGUUUUUCAUUAUAUUCAUCCAUUAAAAUACCAAAAAGCAGAGCAUUUUGUAUUGUAGCCUAUUGUAUUGUGUUUUUAUAUUAUAUUGACAAUACUUGAAGCCUGUUCACAUAUUGCUCAGGCUGGUUCUUAAAUAAAUACAUCGAUACAUCUUAUUUAGUUUGCAGAGGCGUGUCACCUGAUGCCAUUGUUUAAUGUUUCACAUUUACUAAGGCGUGGUGUUACUGUGGCAACACUCAGAACCAGGAUGCUGGAGUUAUAAACACUGCUACUAGUGAAAAGAGUUCACACCCAUUUCUCUAGGAAAUACUGCUGCUGAUUGGGAAUUAAUGAAUCAGAUUUAGUAAAUUAUGUGCAGUUUUGUUAUUAACAAACAUAAAAUCAUAUAUAAAUAAAACUAAAUACAUUUAACAAUGGCAAACAAAACUUUAAGAUGCAUUUAUCAUAGGGGGAUAAAGCCCGGAACACACCAAGCCGAUGCUGACGAACUAGUGGGGACAAAAGCAGACUCCGGGGUUGGCUCACGUUGGCAGCGUCUGGGUCCAAAGUUGCCCUGACACACCAAACCGACGCUCGACACCCGACAGCCAAGUAGCACAUCCGUUCUGCGCCUGCGUAAGAAGAAAUGCCUUUCCGUACCAGCAGGUGGCAGUAGCUGAACAGCCAAUCAGAACGAUCAGAUGGCCUGACUGACCGACGAGCUUCGACGCCAAUUCAAAAUGUCGAAUCGGCUGAAAAAAAGCAGACGAGGACCAACUUCAGCCGAUGGUGCGGAACACACUGAGAAAACUGACAAAAACUGCCCGAUGGCCGACCGUCAACUUGUUGUGUUCCAGGCUUAAGAGUUUUCAACCAAUCAGGCCCUUUCUAAACUAUUAAUGAGACCUUUUCUCUUUAUACUGUCUAUGUGAAGAGAAAACCUUUUACUUUUCAUUACAGAAGAUAAGUGGUAUUGAGAAUGAAUGGAUGGAGUUAAAAUAUCAUGUUAUUUAUGAUGACUGAACAAUUAGAGACCACGAUGUGCUGAUAAUCACACACAUUUUAGGGUUUUCAGAUUAAUUUACCUCUUUGUGUGUCUCUUUUUGCUGAUUAAAACUAAAAUUAAAUAUAUACACCAAUCAGGCAUAACAUUAUGACCACCUUCCAAAUAUUGUGCUGGUCCCCCUUUUGCUGCCAAACAGCCCUGACCUGUCAAGCAUGGACUCCACUAGACCCCUGCAAGGUGUACUGUGGUAUUUCUAAUUCAUCCCAAAGGUGUUCUGUCGGGUUGAGGUCAGGACUCUGUGCAGGCCGGUCAAGUUCCUCCAAACCAAACAUGCUCAUCCAUGUCUUUAUGGACCUUGCUUUGUGCACUGGUGUGCAGUCAUGUUGGAAUGCCACAGAUACCACAGACCGGGAACACCCCACAAGAGCUACAGUUUUGGAGAUGCUCUGACUCAGUCGUCUAGCCAUAACAAUUUGGCCCUUGUCAAACUCGCUCCAUUCCUUAUGCUUGGCCAUUUUUCCUGCUUCUAAAACAUCAACUUUGAGGACAAAAUAUUCACUUGUGUAGUGAACUUGCUGCCUAAUAUAUCCCAUCCACCCACUAACAGGUGCCGUGAUGAAGAGAUAAUCAAUGUUAUUCACUUUACCUGUCAGUGCACAGCACAGAGUUAAGACGUUUCUUGUAGUUGGUCACCAGGUUUGCACACAUCUCAAGAGGGAUUUUGGUCCACAACUCUUUACAGACCCUCUCUAAAUCGUUAAGGUUUCUUGGCUGUCACUGGGUAACUCGAAGUUUCAGCGCCCUCCACAGAUUUUCUAUAGGAUUAAGGUCUGGAGACUGGCUAGGCCACUCCCUUAAUGUGCUUCUUCUUGAGCCACUCCUUUGUUGCUUUGGUGGAAUGUUUUGGGUCACUGUCAUGCUGGAAGACCCAUCCACGACCCAUCUUCAGUGGCUGAAGGAAGGAGGUUCUCGUCCAAGAUUUUACGGUACAUGCCCUGUUCAUCGACCCCUCAAUGCGGUGAAGUCGUCCUGUACCCUUAGCAGAGAAACAGCCCCAAAGCAUAAUGUUUCCACCUCCAUGCUUGACUGUAGGGAUGGUGUUCUUGGGGUCAUAGCCAGCAUUUCUCUCCCUCCAAACACGGCGAGUUGAGUUGAUGCCAAAGAGCUCAAUUUUGGUCUCAUCUGACCACAGCACUUUCUCCCAAGCCUUCUCUGAAUCAAUUAGAUGUUCAUUGGCAAACUUCAGAUGGGCCUGUAGAGGGGGACCUUGCAGGCACUGCAGGAUUUCAAUCCAUUGCGGCGUAGUGUGUUACCAAUGGUUUUCUUGGCGACUGUGGUCCCAACUGCCUUGAGAUCAUUUACAAGCUCCUCCCAUGUAGUUCUGGGCUGAUCCCUCACCUUUCUCAUCAUCAUCCUUACCCCAUGAGGCGAGAUCUUGCAUGGAGCUCCAGACUGAGGGUGACUGAUGAUUAUUUUGUAUUUCUUGCAUUUCCGAAUAAUCGCACCAAUAGUUGUCUCCUUCUCACCAAGCUUCUUGCUGAUGGUCUUGUAGCCCAUUCCAGCCUUGUGCAGGUCUACAGUCUUGUCCCUGAUGUCCUUUGACAGCUCUUUGGUCUUGCCCAUGGUGGUGGAGAGGUUUGAAUGGAAGAUACAGAUUCUUGCAGGUGUCUUUUAUACACAAACGAGCUGACAUUAGGAGUACAUUCUUAAAGUGACGGGAUUAAUCUGUGUUCGACAUGGGCACAUAAACAAUCUGUAGGAGGCAGAAUUCUUGCUGGUUGGUAGGGGAUCAAAUACUUAUUUCACUUGAUCAAAUGCUAAUCAAUUUAUUAUCUUUAUAUAAUGUGUUUUUUCUGGAUUUUUUGGUUUAUAUUCUGUCUCUAUCCAUUAAAAUAAACCUACCAUAAAAAUUAUAGACUAUUCGUUUCUUUGUAAGUGGGCAAACUUACAAAAUCAGCAGGGGAUCAAAUAAUUAUUUUCCACACUGUAUAUAUGUCUCAUUUGCAGGCCAGCCUCAUGAAAAAAUAUUUUUGCAAAAUUAUAUCAUAUUAUUUCUUGAAAUGAAAUGUCCGGUGAGUGGUGCUAAACGGUUAAUGCUUUAUUGAGUUUGUUGGGAAAAGGGACAAGCAACUUCCUCUUUUAGUUUUUGUUUUAGAUUUAAAGAGAAAAAUCAUGGUAGCCCAAGUACAUUAGGGUUAAUAAGCUUCUACAGAGAGAGUCUUUCUGGAUCUAUACACUGAAAGCAACUAAAUUUCCAGGCUUAAAUGGGGAAUUAGACUUUGUACCUUUUUUGUAAUAAGAUGUUAGACCUGAAAAUAGUAUUUUGUUGAUUCUGGUUUGAAUAAUUUUUUUUUUUUUUAACAUAAAGUUAUACUAUGUAUGUCACCAAAUAUAUACAUUAUUGAUUUGUGGAGUUUGAUUUGUAUAUUUAUUUUUUUUGGAAAUAUAAAUUACAUUGUGUAUAUUAUUGAUUUGUGAUAUUUAUGACAUUGUUGAAAAGUGUUUUUUUUUUUUUUUUCUCAGAAAUUUAAGUUACACUAUGUACAUUAUCGUUUAUAUUCACUGAGUUGUGGAGUCUGAGUUAUAUACUUCAUUCAAUAUAUUAUUCAUUUAUUUUAUUUUUCUUUUGUUUAUUUAUAUUGAUUAUACUGUGUUUGAUUUAAUUUGUUAUGUAAUCGUCAUACUUCCUCUCUUCUGUUUGUCCUUUGUAGCACAACCAGGUGAAUGUCAUUAGACUAAUUAAUUGUUGCUCAAAAUGAACUCUGAAUGUGUUUGUUACUCACACCCUGACGAAAGCAAAAUCAGCUGCAACACGUAGGUGUGCACUUGUCACCUGUUUUAAUAUUUAGCCAUGAUGAAAUAAAGGCUUUUUAAAAACGUUUUCUGUAAGACUUGAGUGCCUUGGACCAUUCUUAAUUUUACAAGUUGAACUAUCCCUUGCACCCAAAGAACACAGAGACAGAACUCAUACCCUGUGCAGCACUUCUUUUGCAUUUUUUGCUUUAUGCAUAGAGGUGUUUGUCUGAAAUGUGUAUCCUUCUGGAGAAAUAAUUACAUCACGGGAAGGAGAGGACAGCCAGAAGAACCAGCAGGCAAAUCAGCGCUGUUGAGACUUAUGUUGAAAAUAAUGAGAGCAAGGUUUAUAUCAGCACUGACGACUGUUAAUAAAAUAACCAGCAACUGCAGCAAAGGUGUAACUGCACUAGGGUAGUGCCAUUGGAGGGCUAUCACCGUACAGCAUCACUGGUGCCAAUCAUCCAGUCAGCUAUCUAUACAACCUAGUUGACGUAGGGCCACAGCAGUUUAAGAUGAAGGCUAGGCAUCAGAUUGAGCCGUAUUUGACUCCUUGUGCACAGACAAUACAUGUGAUGUAAGUAAGGAAACAUCCAAGUGGUAAAAUCUAGCAAAGGUAUUCGGUGAAGACCAACAAGCUGCCAUACUAAUACAGAGGCGGUUUCUUCAUUAGGGCGAUAAGGCAACACACCACCAAAGUUGCGAAAGGGACAUUUUUUUAAUCACAUUCAACAACAGUGUUACGCUAGCUGUCACUGUACUGUUUGUUCUGCCUCUGUAUAUAUAAUCCAAUCAGCGUCAAGUCAUGUUCUGUGAAGUACCGCCCCUUUUUGGGCGAUUUCACUGAUUUGUGAAUCAGUAUAUAGUCUACACCAGGGGUGCCCAACCCUGUUCCUGGAGAUCUACCUUCCUGCAGAGUUCAGCUCCUGCCCUGCUCAACACAUCAGUCUGUAAAGUGCUUCUGAAGAUCUUAAUUAGCUGAUUCAGGUGUGUUUUAUCAGGGUUGGAGCUAAUCUCCAGGAACAGGGUUGGGCACCCCUGGUCUACAAUACAGGAGACUUUUGAGCAGUCACUGAAGGACAAAAAGCUGCUCAUACAAUCUGAACUGGGCAGAGCGCUCAGUGUAAAAGUGCAGUGUGCGCACAGAGCAGAGAACCUGAUGAGUUCUCCCCAUUUGAUUCUUCAGGGGGAAAAAAGUCGACAAGGUUAUGACCUGGGCUCUAAACAGUGUUCAGAGCACCUUUGGCAUGUACCCCUUCUUGGGUUUAAGAAUAAUCCUACAAUCAUUUGGCAAGUCAAUACUAUGCAAGUGCCAUUAGUAGACUAGCUUUUGCAAGUUCCCCACUCUCUUUACAGAAGUAGUAUACUCCCUUCAGCAAGAGUGCUUGUAAUUCAGCUGUCAGCAGUGGCUCAAAUGGAGGCUAUGUGAGAGCUUUUAGGACCAAAGCCAAGUCCCAAGUGAGCAAUGUGGAGGGGUGAGGGGGUUUAACCCCCUCAGAAAGCUUAUCAGCAGGUCAUUUCUUCCAACCGGACGUUUAUCGAUUUAGGAAUGAAAAACCAUAAAAGCGUCCACAUAAACGUUAAGCGUAGAGGGUGCAUGACCAUUGUCUAAUCACUCCUGUAAGUAUGACAGUAUGAUUGACACGGGACAAUUCACGGAGUCCUCACCCUGAGUUAUACACAGUUCACAAAUACUUUCCACUUAUGGGCAUAGAGGCGCCUGGUAAAGGGUGCCUGUACCUCAGUGAUUGUGCCUAGCACUUGCUGUGGCAGAAUCUCUGAUGGUGACUGGGCAGAUGCAUGUUCCACAGUUGUGGGUUGCAGAUUGUGCAGAGCGCUUGGGUCACGAGGUAGUCUCAGCCUCAGACGUCACGCCCACGGACCGUUGGCGUCUGAUGCAUAUGGCACACUUUUCUGGAAACACUUCAGGAGUUUUGAAGUCUGGUUCUUCAUCUGGUUGGUUGAAUUCUACAGGAUGUCUGGGAGAUGUGUGUGUCGCAUUCUUUAACAGUCCGCCUGGAAACAAAUGCUGUGAUGCCAAACCAGCUCGUGGAAGAAGAAAGCCGUUGUGUUUACAACUGUGACGUACGAGCACUUACCAGGAUCAACUAAACGCUGGAUUUUCAAAAGUAUGUGAAGUUUGCGGCUCCAUUGUUGCAGUAAACUUGCACAGUGUUCUUGAAUGAAUAAUUUAUUAGAUGCACGCCGGUCUGUUAUUGUAGGCACAUCGACAUUACAUUUUCAUGCCCCUAAACAUGAUGUGGAACAAAACGAACUGUGAUUGGUUGCGUUACAUGUCAGUCAAAUGGCCUCUGGGCGGUCCUUGGCCAAUGAAAGCUGCGAUAGAGUCCAGUCCUUCUGCCAUCAGCCUGAAGGUCUGGCUACACGAGACUAGUCACGAGGUCCCUUAGCGGUAUGGUCCAGGAGCUUAUAUAACAAUAAGCUUUUUUGCAUAUUUAUUGAAAGUCCAAAGCACCAUCACAAGUGAGCAAAAGGUUUGAGUUUUUGGCUGUUUAACAUAUCCUCUGAAUGAAGAUAAUCCAGCCAAGAUCAAUCAAUCAUCCAAAUAAUUUAGUAUGUGCAUUUCUCUCAGUCUUAGAGGAAAGAGAGCCAUGUUUACACAUUUUGUGAAUGUGCGUGAAGCGAAUGACAGACCGUAGGGCAUGACCGAUAAUUGGUAUUCUGUGCCUUCGAAAGCAAAUCUCAGAAAGAACCUGUAAUGAAGGGCCAUCUGUCUGUGAAUGAACUGCACCAUGCUUGUCAUGCAGCCAAGGGCCUUGCUGCUUCAGAAAGGGGCUGUGUUUUGGCCAUGAAGUCCUUGUCUCACAGCUGGCUCAGGUUCUCUGAGAGGCUGAGGUGGAUCUAGCGAAUUGCCUGGCCUCCGUUGAGCUGAACACUGAGCUGAAGAGGUGAGCGGUGAAGGCUUGAGUGAAGACAGCAGCUGUCUUGAAGUAGAAAGUUUCUGAGAAAAUGACAUUUAGUGCCGCCCUAUAUACCAGUUGAGCCCGCCUCUAUUUUGUGCUUGAUCAUCAAUGUGUACUCAUACUGGCGUGAUUUAUCAACCCUUAAAUGCAUGAAUGUUUGCCAAUCAUUCUUACAUAUUCGGGUCUUUAGCGACCCGGAUCUAUAUCUAACACGGAUGGAUCUCUACCUGUCGCGAUAAUAUAAAACUCCUCUGAUAUUAGAGUAACAAUUACAGAAGAAUAAAAUAAAGCAUGUUUUGUUACCUUUCAGAGCUUGGAAGGGUUCAUUUUGAGCAGUUGUUUUAUGCUAUCAUUACUGUCCUCGUAAGAGCUCAUUUCCCAAGACAUUCAGCAAAUGAUAGUUUUGCGAAUAUGUUUGAGAUCGUGAAUAUGAGCCCAUUCGCGAUCUCAAAAAAUGAUAUCAUUUUCAACAUCUUCAAAAUCAAUAUUUUGAUCGCUGACAGUUUCACCAGAUCCAUCAAGUGACAGUGACAGUCAUAUGAUUGCGUUCAGCACUUGCUCUGCAGUAAAUCGCUUUACAAUUCACAUUUUGCUAAUGAUACUUCCUAUUCUUUUGUUUUCUGUCUAAAUGAAACGUCACUUCAUCAUCUUGUAUCAGACAUUGCCACCUUGUGGAAUAAAGGUGAAUUGCACUUAUUCCGCCAUCAAAGUUUCAAUUAUUGUUCUGCAGAAAAAAAAUAUAUGUACACUGAUACAUACCUGGGGUUAUUAGCGACCCUAUACAAUUUUUACAAAAAACGAAUGGGAAAACAGGUAUUCUUUUAGAAUUUUAUGAUUUUUUUUAAUUUUUUUUUGUUAUAGGCCUAUUGUUUAUAAUGAAUUGAUUGAGAAAUACUAAGAAGGUUGAUGUCUAACUUUAAAAAAUGAAUGAGGAGGAGGGUAGUGAAUGACGUCCUGGGUCGAUAAAGACCCGAGGUAGGCCUAUGCAUUUAAGUGUUAAGGCUUUAGUAUUUUUCAGAGAACGGAGUUUCCCUAUAGCGCCAGGUCAUGAAGCAACGUCGAGUGAACCAAACUUGAAAGAAAACUCAUUAAUAUUUAUAUGUGCCACACUCACAGAAACUGAAAAUCUCAGAAACUCUUGUAACAAUGCAGGGAAGUUGUCCUCCUCAGCCACAGCCGAAGUUAUCCAAAUAAAAGGAAAAAACAAUUGACUUAAGAUGGAAAAAAUGGGAAAAAUUCUAGUGGUGGUAAAUUUGAAAAUCUGCCUACCCAUCUCUAUAUAUUUUUCCUCUUUUAGGAUGUCGUGAAAACUUAAUUGCGAAUUUUUCUUUUGCUGUUGGAGUACAAAAAAAAAAAAAAAUUGAUGCAGUCUCCGUUCACCACUUUUUUUUUUUUUUUUUACCCCUUGUUUCUAUGACAACUUCCCAUACAUAAUAGUAAUAGGGAAGUCCGGUUUUUUUUCCGCGAACCGGUUCUUUCGGAUAGUUCGUUUCAAUAAACCGGUUGAAAAAACCGGCUCACCCGGUUCUUUUACGCUCCGACGUAAUGAUGACGUAAUGACGUCGUCUAUCGCGGGCCGGGAUGAAAAAACACUUAACACAUAACAUCAGUCAACUAAAACAUCAUUAUAAUCUGAAACGUUUUUUACAAUUUAGUUUUGCAUCUAAAGCACACAUAUACAGGCAGAUGGGCAAACGAGGAAGUUUUACAGUUAUAAAGUGAAUAAAUUUGUCUUCAUCAGCGCAGAAACCAUGAUCCACUACUAUACAUAAUCCAUUACGAAUUAUUUGUAAUUAAAUAAAUUUACGUUUCGCCAGAUUGGCCCCUCAUUCAAGUCCUCUCAUAGCAUCAGUUGUCCUAGUUCGGUUCAGACGCCGGUGCUGUCACAGUCAUUACUGUUCGGUAGCUUCAGAUCACACGCUGAAUCACGCAUGCGCAGUGUCAUCAGCUCAUCGGUUCUCAAAUCGGACAUGUCCGAAAGAAGCGGUUCUCGGUUGUGUACUGGUGAUCCGAAAACCGUUGCAACCGAUUCUCGACUCGAGAACGAGAACGGUGACAGGCCGUGUUCGUGAACGCCGCGCAUGCGCACUCAUAUCAGCUGCUCUGCUGCUCGUGCUCAUCCAUAGAUAUACACUAGAUGUCGCCUUGCCUACGGCAGUUCAUUGGAACUAAUGCGUCAAUAGAGCCGCCAUCUUGGAACAGGGGAACCCCUCCUCUUUAAUGCAUCAGCGUCAAUGUAGGCAAAGGUCUAACGGAAAUAAAAUCACCAUAAAUUGUCAUGAAUGCGAUUUUCUAGUUUUUUUUUUUGGUUCAUUCCAACGGUCAGACAUGUAUUUAUCAUUGAGUCCAGAGAAAAUUUAAGGUUUUGAUAUUAAGAUAAUCUACUUUUUAAAAAUAUGAUGCAUAGUGCUAGUAGGCCUAAGUUUAUUAGUCACAUUCUUCCACUUGAGUAAACUUCGAAUGAACUAUCGAUACUUACAUAUAAUUAUCAAAGAAUAAAACAGAAAAAUAACAUGAAAAUCACCACAGUGGUACUUGGGGAGAUCUAGAACAAGAAUCAGGUGGAGUUUGUAGAAAACAAUUUGAUUUCAUAUUUUUAUGAAUUUUUAAAAUAUGUUUGUAUAGCGAGGUAGUCUAUGACUUUGACAUAUAAUUAUUAAAGAAUAAAACAGUAAAACAACAUGAUAGUCACCACAGUGGUACUUAAUUGGGAACAAGAAUGUAUAACAAGAAUCAGGUGAAGUUUGCAGUAAACAGUUUCAUUUUAUUUAUUUUUUAUGAAUUUUAAAAAUAUUUCUACCGACACUUAACACCUACCACGAAACCUCAUGUAGACGCGCAAUAUAUUUUAAGCAUAGAUGGCGUGACCGCAUACAAGUGGCGGAGCAGGUGGGUAUAGCCGUGGCAGGUCGAGUGACAGGCGCGUAUAUCUGUGACAGGUCGCGGGGCAGCGGUGGCAGAUCGCGGGGCAGGCGCGUUUAUCCGUGGCAGGUCGACUGACAGGCGCGUUUACCCGUGGCAGGUCGCGGGGCAGGCGGGUAUAGCCGUGGUAGGUCGAGUGACUGGCGCGCAUAUCUGUGACUGAUCGAGUGGCAGCGGUGACAGAAAGCGGGGCAGGCGCAUAUAGCGGUGACAGGUCGAGUGACAGGUCUCAGUGGCAGCUGCCCCUGCCACGCAAAGAUUUUACCCCUACUGCGGUUAUCCUAACUGUCAAAAACUAAUGGGUAACUAGCAUGGAUUAGCUGCGGUCGUUAACCAAGCACUGAAACAAACCAACGUAACCAGAAAUAUAAUUUCGUAACAUUCAAUAUCAUAAAACACAUUCUCACUUGUGAAAUGUAAUCCCUUGCUGUCUGUUUUUUUUAGAUUUCUUUCGUUUGAACAUCCAUACGCAGCACAAAAGGUUGGCAUCGUCCAUGAAUCCAAAGUACAGGUGGAGAUAGCAGCGUUACCUAGCUACUUCCUAUGACAAGACCCCUGUUCCAAGAUGGCGGCGGUUUUGACGCAUGCUUAGAACCCCAAGGCGACAUCUAGUGUAUAUAUCUAUGGUGCUCAUCAUCAUCAGUUCUCUCUUCACAGCAGGUUAUGUCAGUGUACUGUUGGAGUAACUGAAUAACUCCGGGAUGUUGGUUUAUUUCGAGUCAGAGGGAGUGUCAGGCACGUCAAAAAGUGAGUAACUUUAGUAAUUUGUGGAUUAGUGCUGGAGAACUGUUUCGAACGAUUCACUAAAAAGAACCGGUUCAAAAGAACGAUUCGUUCGCGAACCGGACAUCACUAUUACAGAACCCGGAAACGUGGAAGGUUCAAUGUUACGAUACUUUCAGUUUUCUGACAAAGUAGUAUUUCAGAAAUAUUAUGUAUAACAUAUAUGAGCUAUAUCGGGGCACUUUGAUCAAAUGGUUCUGCUUCAUCUGUGUGUUUGCAGUGCUGAUAAAUAAAGUGUCUCUGCAGGUCACAGUACACAGAGAGGGUAUUAUUGGUGGUUCUGUUGUCCUGCCGUGUUUUUCCUCUGAGCACCGUUAUAAACUUCAAGACAUUGAUGUGAGCUGGAGACACAAUGACAGUGAGAUUGUGUAUGAUAUAGUCAAGGGUGAAGAUUCAUUGGCAGAACAGGACCCACGGUACAAGAACAGAGCUGAAACAUUCCCAUCAGAGUAUGAGAGGAGAAACUUCUCCAUCAGACUCAAGAACCUCACCUACACUGAUGCAGGAGAGUUCAACUGCCUCAUCACACCCUCACAUGAACAAGAGAAUGUAGAACUGAUCAUCAAGGAAGAAAAAGGAAACAAAUCCAAACAAGCAAACCAAGGACCAGAUUGGAUGAAGAUAAUAUCGAUAUUUGUAGGCCUUCUUGUAUCACUUGUAUUAAUUGUUGUGUCAAUAAUAGCCUAUUUUCGCUGGAGAAAAAAAUCACAAGCUGCCUUAUAGACCAUUUCGGAGUAGACAUCAUAGUUACAAGACUUGUGGCAGAAAAACAAGAGGUAACAAGUAACAAGGUAAGAGGAGGUAACAAGAGGAGGAAAACGGGCAAGAUCCACGGAAUAAGUUAUUUAUUGUACCUUUGGAUGUCAGAAUCGGAAUGCAAAAAAAAGAUGGUCUUGAUUUUUAUAGAAUACCGUCAUCGAAGAUGCUCUUUGAAGCUAAACGCAGAUGGUUGCAAGCCAUUAAACGGACAGACUAAAUUGAUGAAACCUGCAAUGAUUACCUUACUAUUAAAGCAUGAAUCAUGUAAACAAUAGAUGUAAAUGAUAUUCACAUAUAUUGCCCCUAAUUCCUUGACUGUCCUGUUUGGCCUUUUCCAAACUCCGAAUAUACCAGUCACAG
Ctenopharyngodon idella (grass carp) is the source of this 11629-nucleotide long non-coding RNA. RefSeq lists it as uncharacterized. The record is from RefSeq and is a predicted model, not a curated record. Lineage: Eukaryota; Metazoa; Chordata; Actinopteri; Cypriniformes; Xenocyprididae. The transcript is spliced from 5 exons.